AGUCGUAACAAGGUUUCCGUAGGUGAACCUGCGGAAGGAUCUUCC
This 45-nucleotide ribosomal RNA is filed under the name Toxoplasma gondii. RNAcentral's name for it is "partial 18S ribosomal RNA". It matches the Rfam family "Eukaryotic small subunit ribosomal RNA", at positions 1787 to 1831 of the family's 1831-position model. The record is from RNAcentral. Lineage: Eukaryota; Apicomplexa; Conoidasida; Eucoccidiorida; Sarcocystidae.